This 482-nucleotide ribosomal RNA is filed under the name uncultured bacterium. Its description in RNAcentral is "partial 16S ribosomal RNA". It matches the Rfam family "Bacterial small subunit ribosomal RNA", at positions 30 to 507 of the family's 1533-position model. The record is from RNAcentral.
AUUGAACGCUGGCGGCAUGCUUUACACAUGCAAGUCGAACGGUAACAGGCCGCAAGGUGCUGACGAGUGGCGAACGGGUGAGUAAUGCAUAGGAACGUGCCCAGUCGUGGGGGAUAACUACUCGAAAGAGUAGCUAAUACCGCAUACGAUCUAUGGAUGAAAGCGGGGGACCGUAAGGCCUCGCGCGAUUGGAGCGGCCGAUGUCAGAUUAGGUAGUUGGUGGGGUAAAGGCUCACCAAGCCAACGAUCUGUAGCUGGUCUGAGAGGACGACCAGCCACACUGGGACUGAGACACGGCCCAGACUCCUACGGGAGGCAGCAGUGGGGAAUUUUGGACAAUGGGCGCAAGCCUGAUCCAGCAAUGCCGCGUGCAGGAAGAAGGCCUUCGGGUUGUAAACUGCUUUUGUACGGAACGAAACGGCUCUGGUUAAUACCCGGGGCUAAUGACGGUACCGUAAGAAUAAGCACCGGCUAACUACGUG